RNAcentral lists this ribosomal RNA (403 nucleotides) under uncultured Sphingomonadales bacterium. Its description in RNAcentral is "bacterial SSU rRNA". It matches the Rfam family "Bacterial small subunit ribosomal RNA", at positions 356 to 774 of the family's 1533-position model. Lineage: Bacteria; Pseudomonadati; Pseudomonadota; Alphaproteobacteria; Sphingomonadales. The record is from RNAcentral.
GGGGAAUAUUGCGCAAUGGGGGAAACCCUGACGCAGCAAUACCGCGUGAGUGAAGAAGGUUUUCGGAUCGUAAAGCUCUGUUAUUGGGGAAGAAAAAAAGACGGUACCCAAGAAGAAAGUCCCGGCUAACUCCGUGCCAGCAGCCGCGGUAAUACGGAGGGAGCUAGCGUUGUUCGGAAUUACUGGGCGUAAAGCGCACGUAGGCGGCUACACAAGUCAGAGGUGAAAGCCCGGGGCUCAACCCCGGAACUGCCUUUGAAACUAGGUGGCUAGAAUCUUGGAGAGGUCAGUGGAAUUCCGAGUGUAGAGGUGAAAUUCGUAGAUAUUCGGAAGAACACCAGUGGCGAAGGCGACUAACUGGACAAGUAUUGACGCUGAGGUGCGAAAGCGUGGGGAGCAAACA